GCUCUUUAGCGUAGGAACAUUGGUUCCAGCCGGGCGGUUAGCCAGGCUCUAAUUUAUUGUCUAU
Molecule: small RNA, 64 nt
Filed under: Pantoea ananatis
Lineage: Bacteria; Pseudomonadati; Pseudomonadota; Gammaproteobacteria; Enterobacterales; Erwiniaceae
Description: Retron msr RNA
Rfam family: Retron msr RNA
About the family: Retron elements are found in a wide range of mainly Gram-negative bacteria. The retron encodes a reverse transcriptase that is responsible for the production of a small satellite DNA called msDNA (multi-copy single-stranded DNA). msDNA has both DNA (encoded by the retron msd gene) and RNA (encoded by the msr gene) components.
Source: RNAcentral